UCCCACUGUGAAUUUGGUUUGAGGUUAUGA
This 30-nucleotide non-coding RNA is filed under the name Rattus norvegicus (Norway rat). Lineage: Eukaryota; Metazoa; Chordata; Mammalia; Rodentia; Muridae. The record is from RNAcentral.